UACAGAGACUGCAAGCGUUAUUCGGAUUUACUGGGCGUAAAGAGCGCGCAGGCGGUCGUUCAAGUCGAGUGUGAAAGCCCCCGGCUCAACUGGGGAGGGUCACUCGAUACUGAUCGACUCGAAGGCAGGAGAGGGAAGCGGAAUUCCCGGUGUAGUGGUGAAAUGCGUAGAUAUCGGGAGGAACACCAGUGGCGAAGGCGGCUUCCUGGCC
RNAcentral lists this ribosomal RNA (211 nucleotides) under uncultured prokaryote. RNAcentral describes it as "partial 16S ribosomal RNA". It matches the Rfam family "Bacterial small subunit ribosomal RNA", at positions 524 to 734 of the family's 1533-position model. The record is from RNAcentral.